GGCCGGGUCCUAUGCAACGCAGGACCAGUGAACCCCGCCAGGCCCGGAAGGGAGCAACGGUAGCUGAUGUCCGCGUGUGCCGUAGGGUGCCUGGCCUUU
RNAcentral lists this signal recognition particle RNA (99 nucleotides) under Puniceicoccus vermicola. RNAcentral's name for it is "Bacterial small signal recognition particle RNA". It matches the Rfam family "Bacterial small signal recognition particle RNA". Rfam says of the family: The signal recognition particle (SRP) is a universally conserved ribonucleoprotein involved in the co-translational targeting of proteins to membranes. Archaeal SRP consists of a 7S RNA and homologues of the eukaryotic SRP19 and SRP54 proteins. Lineage: Bacteria; Pseudomonadati; Verrucomicrobiota; Opitutia; Puniceicoccales; Puniceicoccaceae. The record is from Rfam by way of RNAcentral.